GAAAAAUGGACUGUGCCAAUGUUAUUUUUAGAUCGCUUCCGGAGAGCGAGAAAAAUACAGUUAGCGAGAGAAAAAGCAUCGGGAAAAAGGAUGGAAUUCGAACAAAUUGCUAGCGAGAUUGAUGAUGAUGUUUUCAAAAGUUUGAAGAUCGAGUUUGGGAAAGGCAGAGGGAAGCCAGUUACAGGAGGCUUGCAUAGUAAACCUGUACAAAACAAGUCCUGCCUAUUCAUUAAAUACUAAGAACUACAGUAGGCCUAAUACACUUGCUGUUAAGUAUUAAAUUAAAACAAUUCAAACCAUUUCUUUCGGUCGGCAGUAAGUUUGCAUGAACAACUUAAAUAAACAAUCGAUUUAAGUCGUCAGAUUGUAAAUAAAUUUAUUCCUGGAGAUGAACAAAUAAAGUUUGAAAUAU
Anneissia japonica is the source of this 412-nucleotide long non-coding RNA. RefSeq lists it as uncharacterized. The transcript is spliced from 2 exons. Lineage: Eukaryota; Metazoa; Echinodermata; Crinoidea; Comatulida; Comatulidae. The record is from RefSeq and is a predicted model, not a curated record.